GCGUGGGUUUCCUCCAGGUGCUCUGACAUGUUCUCCCUGUGUCAGCGUGGGUUUCCUCCAGGUGCUCUGACAUGUUCUCCCCCUGUCAGCGUGGGUUUCCUCCAGGUGCUCUGACAUGUUCUCCCUGUGUCAGCGUGGGUUUCCUCCAGGUGCUCUGACAUGUUCUCCCAGUGUCAGCGUGGGUUUCCUCCAGGUGCUCUGACAUGUUCUCCCGGUGUCAGCGUGGGUUUCCUCCAGGUGCUCUGACAUGUUCUCCCUGUGUCAGUGUGGGUUUCCUCCAGGUGCUCUGACAUGUUCUCCCUGUGUCAGCGUGGGUUUCCUCCAGGUGCUCUGACAUGUUCUCCCUGUGUCAGCGUGGGUUUCCUCCAGGUGCUCUGACAUGUUCUUCCCGUGUCAGCGUGGGUUUCCUCCAGGUGCUCCGACAUGUUCUUCCCGUGUCAGCGUGGGUUUCCUCCAGGUGCUCUGACAUGUUCUCCCUGUGUCAGCGUGGGUUUCCUCCAGGUGCUCUGACAUGUUCUCCCUGUGUC
This is a long non-coding RNA of Epinephelus fuscoguttatus (brown-marbled grouper), 527 nucleotides long. RefSeq lists it as uncharacterized. The transcript has 3 exons. The record is from RefSeq and is a predicted model, not a curated record. NCBI's taxonomy places the organism in Eukaryota, Metazoa, Chordata, Actinopteri, Perciformes, Serranidae.